CAGAUUGAACGCUGGCGGCAUGCCUUACACAUGCAAGUCGAACGGUAACAGGUCUUCGGAUGCUGACGAGUGGCGAACGGGUGAGUAAUACAUCGGAACGUGCCUAGUAGUGGGGGAUAACUACUCGAAAGAGUGGCUAAUACCGCAUGAGAUCUACGGAUGAAAGCAGGGGAUCGCAAGACCUUGUGCUACUAGAGCGGCCGAUGGCAGAUUAGGUAGUUGGUGGGAUAAAAGCUUACCAAGCCGACGAUCUGUAGCUGGUCUGAGAGGACGAUCAGCCACACUGGGACUGAGACACGGCCCAGAC
This 307-nucleotide ribosomal RNA is filed under the name bacterium endosmybiont of Otiorhynchus armadillo. Its description in RNAcentral is "bacterial SSU rRNA". It matches the Rfam family "Bacterial small subunit ribosomal RNA", at positions 25 to 336 of the family's 1533-position model. The record is from RNAcentral.